Molecule: ribosomal RNA, 465 nt
Filed under: uncultured bacterium
Lineage: Bacteria
Description: partial 16S ribosomal RNA
Rfam family: Bacterial small subunit ribosomal RNA
Source: RNAcentral
GACGAACGCUGGCGGCGUGCUUAAAACAUGCAAGUCGAACGGAAAGGCCCCUUUGGGGGUACUCGAGUAGCGCACGGGUGAGUAACACGUGAGUAACCUGCCCUUGCCUUCGGGAUACCUUCAGGAAACUGGGGCUAAUACCGGAUAGGAAUCCUUGCUGCAUGGUGGGGGUUGGAAAGCUUCGGCGGUUUUGGAUGGACUCGCGGCUUAUCAGCUUGAUGGUGGGGUAGUGGCUUACCAAGGCUUUGACGGGUAGCCGGCCUGAGAGGGCGACCGGCCACAGUGGGACUGAGAGACGGCCCAGACUCCGACGGGAGGCAGCAGUGGGGAAUAUUGCACAAGGGGCGGAAGCCGGAUGCAGCAACGCCGCGUGCGGGAUGACGGCCUUCGGGUUGUAAACCGCUUUCAGCAGGGGCGAAGCUUGUGGUGACGGUACCUGCAGAAGAAGCACCGGCUAACUACGUG